GACGAACGCUGGCGGCGUGCUUAACACAUGCAAGUCGAACGGAAAGGCCCUUCGGGGUACUCGAGUGGCGAACGGGUGAGUAACACGUGGGUGAUCUGCCCUGCACUUUGGGAUAAGCCUGGGAAACUGGGUCUAAUACCGAAUAGGACUACGCUCUUCAUGGGGUGUGGUGGAAAGCUUUUGCGGUGUGGGAUGGGCCCGCGGCCUAUCAGCUUGUUGGUGGGGUAAUGGCCUACCAAGGCGACGACGGGUAGCCGGCCUGAGAGGGUGACCGGCCACACUGGGACUGAGAUACGGCCCAGACUCCUACGGGAGGCAGCAGUGGGGAAUAUUGCACAAUGGGCGCAAGCCUGAUGCAGCGACGCCGCGUAAGGGAUGACGGCCUC
Molecule: ribosomal RNA, 386 nt
Filed under: uncultured bacterium
Lineage: Bacteria
Description: bacterial SSU rRNA
Rfam family: Bacterial small subunit ribosomal RNA
Source: RNAcentral